UACGGAGGAUGCAAGCGUUCUCCGGAAUGAUUGGGCGUAAAGCGUCCGCAGGUGGCAAUGUAAGUCUGCUGUUAAAGAGUCUAGCUCAACUAGAUAAAAGCAGUGGAAACUACAUAGCUAGAGUACGUUCGGGGCAGAGGGAAUUCCUGGUGUAGCGGUGAAAUGCGUAGAGAUCAGGAAGAACACCGGUGGCGAAGGCGCUCUGCUAGGCCGUAACUGACACUGAGGGACGAAAGCUAGGGGAGCGAAUGGG
Molecule: ribosomal RNA, 253 nt
Filed under: uncultured bacterium
Lineage: Bacteria
Description: partial 16S ribosomal RNA
Rfam family: Bacterial small subunit ribosomal RNA
Source: RNAcentral